RNAcentral lists this ribosomal RNA (382 nucleotides) under uncultured eukaryote. RNAcentral's name for it is "partial 18S ribosomal RNA". It matches the Rfam family "Eukaryotic small subunit ribosomal RNA", at positions 592 to 976 of the family's 1831-position model. The record is from RNAcentral.
CAAUAGCGUAUAUUAAAGUUGUUGCAGUUAAAAAGCUCGUAGUUGGAUUUCUGGUGAGAUGAAUUAUGUCUGGAUGGAAACGUCUCGUACAUGGCUUGUUUUGCCCUUCUUGUCAGGAACCCGUUGGGAUCCACUUCUCGACGGUGGAAUGGCAUCGUUUACUGUGAAAAAAUUAGAGUGUUCAAAGCAGGCAUCGCCGUUGAAUACAUUAGCAUGGAAUAAUAAGAUAAGACUUUGGUGGUCUAUUUUGUUGGUUUGCACGCCAAAGUAAUGAUUAAUAGGGAUAGUUGGGGGGAUUCGUAUUCUAUUGCUAGAGGUGAAAUUCUUAAAUUUAUGGAAGACGAACUACUGCGAAAGCAUUUACCAAGGAUGGUUUCAUUAA